RNAcentral lists this transfer RNA (69 nucleotides) under Ictidomys tridecemlineatus (thirteen-lined ground squirrel). Its description in RNAcentral is "Spermophilus tridecemlineatus (thirteen-lined ground squirrel) tRNA". It matches the Rfam family "tRNA". Rfam says of the family: Transfer RNA (tRNA) molecules are approximately 80 nucleotides in length. Lineage: Eukaryota; Metazoa; Chordata; Mammalia; Rodentia; Sciuridae. The record is from Rfam by way of RNAcentral.
GGGGUUGUAGCUCAGCGGUAGAGCGCUUGCCUACAUUGUAAGAGGCACUGGGUUCAAAUCUCUGUACCA